ACAACAUCAUCUCUCACUACCUCUAUUAUCUCGACUUGUUGGGCGUGGGGCGAGAGCAAGCAGGACCCCACGAAGUGCUCUCCUGCGCCGAACAGGUUCCGUUCAAUCCAUCUACUACCAAAUCAUCGUCUUGAAUUCCUAUCUGAAUCUCUCUUAUAAUAAGAUUUGUGUUGGGCCACCUCUCCUGUAUUCGUGUGAUUAUUGAAUUUGUAAUAUGUCGACUGCUUUUGCUCUGCUUCAUUGCUAUAUAUACAGGUUUUGUGAAUUCAAAUUGUUUGUGUUGCUAGUGUAUCAUUAAG
RNAcentral lists this long non-coding RNA (299 nucleotides) under Salvia miltiorrhiza (redroot sage). RNAcentral describes it as "long non-coding RNA (SMIL_LNC006568)". The record is from RNAcentral. Lineage: Eukaryota; Viridiplantae; Streptophyta; Magnoliopsida; Lamiales; Lamiaceae.